CAGCAGCCACGGGAAUACGUAGGUGGCAAGCGUUGUCCGGAAUUAUUGGGCGUAAAGGGCUCGCAGGCGGUUUCUUAAGUCUGAUGUGAAAGCCCCCGGCUCAACCGGGGAGGGUCAUUGGAAACUGGGAAACUUGAGUGCAGAAGAGGAGAGUGGAAUCCCACGUGUAGCGGUGAAAUGCGUAGAGAUGUGGAGGAACACCAGUGGCGAAGGCGACUCUCUGGUCUGUAACUGACGCUGAGGAGCGAAAGCGAGGGGAGCGAACAGGAUUAGAUACCCGUGUAGUCCCUGUCUCUUAUAC
RNAcentral lists this ribosomal RNA (301 nucleotides) under uncultured bacterium. Its description in RNAcentral is "partial 16S ribosomal RNA". It matches the Rfam family "Bacterial small subunit ribosomal RNA", at positions 509 to 807 of the family's 1533-position model. The record is from RNAcentral.